CCGCGAAGUUGGUGCGAUUUUGAAGAGGUAAUAUGUCGGUUGGGCUGUUAACCAAUCUCUCAAUUCACGAUCAAGGAAGAGAUGUAAGCUCUUGUGAUCCCUUAACAAUGUUUCUUCAAAUGUAGCCUAUUUCGGAUUCGAUGAUGGAGACAUCGACAUUGACACUGAUUCACAAAUACACAGCGGCUGCUCUGUGUUCUUUUGCUCUUCACCAGUCUCAGAUCUACCAAAAGAGACCUUCGAAUCUUCUUCAGCCUCUCCACAAAGAACCAAUUGAAUUGAAGGAGUAGUAAGCGUUGAUUGCUUGGAUUGGACGAUCAAGCUCGGGAUGGGUUGAAGGAAACAGCUGGUUCUUCGCAAUUGAGGCAUCAUGUUGAAGCGAACCUCAUAAAAAAGCACAGAGCACACAUCCCAAGAUCUCCAAUGAGGAGAAAGUCCCUAAUGAAUCUGGAGUUGGAACUUCAGAAAGCCAUGGAAGAGAGAAACUUUCUCAGUUACCAGAGGAAGCCGUGAGAUAAUGGUUGCUCUCUCUAAUGGAUGUAGUAAAAAGGAACCCAACAAAGGAGAUGGGAACAUAAUUUCAGAAAUGACCUUGGAUAAGUUAAAAGUGUGGAGGUAUCAUUGCUGCAGCCGCUACUGGAGGAACCUUGAUGGCUGUUACUGGUGUUGCAG
RNAcentral lists this unclassified non-coding RNA (672 nucleotides) under Hevea brasiliensis (rubber tree). Lineage: Eukaryota; Viridiplantae; Streptophyta; Magnoliopsida; Malpighiales; Euphorbiaceae. The record is from RNAcentral.